Molecule: long non-coding RNA, 1812 nt
Filed under: Salvia miltiorrhiza (redroot sage)
Lineage: Eukaryota; Viridiplantae; Streptophyta; Magnoliopsida; Lamiales; Lamiaceae
Description: long non-coding RNA (SMIL_LNC005665)
Source: RNAcentral
CUUAACACACAAAAUACCAAUUUCUUAAAACUCGUGCAAAAAAUAACUUGGCCAUACUUUAUGGGACGGAGGGAGUAUUUUUUAUUGACCAAAGUUUAUUUUUCUCUUCAAUCGCCGCUGCUUCAUCUUUUCUUCCUGGUAGCUUCUCUCUCUUUUUUCUUCAAUGGCCGCUGCUACUAGGUGUGAUUUUUAUUUAUUUAUUCUAGGCAAUAGAAUCACGUAUAAUGUGGAGCUCCGCCAGGUUAUAAUUUUCUUCAAAGAUAAUCCUUUAAGAAAAUUCUGUUGAAAAACUUCAUUAUAACUACAUAAACUAUUGUCGUUAGAUUAAGUAUUUCUACUAAGAAAAUUAUAUAAAUGUAAAUAAAAUCAAAUUAUUAUUUUUUAUGUUUUAUGUUUAGAAUUAUCAUAGAAAUUAAAUUAAACAAAAAAUGACAAUUUCAUUCCUUUGGUAUUCCUUGUGCUGUUGUGCAUACCAAGCAUAGGAAUCACCUAAAGUUUGUCAUUCCUUUCCCACACUCAUUCCAUUCCUACUUCCAUUUCAUUCCACUCUUAUUCCAUUCCAUCAAUCAUCUCAUAGAGUCAACUUGCUCAAUGACUUGCAAGUCAAUUUGAAAAGAAGAAAAAAAAACAAACAAACGUGAAGCUUGUUAUGUAGGCCGUCGAAAUUGACCAAAGCUUGUGAAAAACGAGAAAGUAAUUUGAUUAUCAAAAUUAUAUAGAAAUUGUUUGAAGAUAAUUCAUGAUAAGUUAAUGUGGAAAAUUUUCAAUGUGAGAUUCAUCAAUUUUAACUAAAUGUAGCUUCACUAUGUACUACACAUUGUAGAGAAUUUUACAUUUUUCAAUCUGUGAUUCAAUAUAAUAUCAAUUUAAUGAGUUUUCAAAUAGUUUUAAUUCUAAUUUUUCAUUUUACUUUUUAAUUAUUAUUUUUUAAUCUACAAAUACAUUUAAAAUAAGGAUAAUAGAAAUGAAAAUUAUUGUAAUAUUAUUAUAAUUAACGUAGUGUUGAAUUUUAAUUUAAAUGAAUUUUAUGUUGUAAAAUUUAAUGUUAAAAUUAAUUAAAAAUAAUAUUAAAUAUAAAGAUAAAAUUAAAAAUAAAAUUUAAGACUCAGGCUCUCUCAAUGUGAAGGGUGGACUCUUAAAUGGCGGGGAGAACUUUUAAGAGCCCAUCCUGACUCUCCAAUGUGGAUGCUCUAAGAGCUCCGAAACUCUCUAAUUGGUUCAAAAAAUUAAUCAUAAUGAAUAAGAUGGAUUAUUUUAAAAUUUAACCAAAUUAAGAUUAUUUUAAGUCCAAACUAUAGCCCAUUAAUAUACUCCCUUAGUCCCACGAAGCAUGACCAAGUUUCCUUUUUGGUUUGUCCCACGAAGCUUGACCAGUUUCCUUAUAUGGCAAAAAAAUUACUCUUUAUUCAUCUUUUCACUUUUACACCUACCACACUUAACACACACAAUACCAAUUUCUUAAAACCCGUGUCGAAAAAAACUUGGCUUCAUCUUCUCUUCCUGGUAGCUUCUUUCUCUCUUUUUUCUUCAAUGGCCGCCGCUACCAGGUGUGAUUUUUAUUCAUUUAUUCUAGGCAAUAGAAUCACGUAUAAUGUGGAGCUCCGCCAGGUUAUAAUUUUCUUCAAAGAUAAUCCUUUAAGAAAAUUCUGUUGAAAAACUUCAUUAUAAUUACAUAAAUUAUUGUCGUUAGAUUAAGUAUUUCUACUAAGAAAAUUAUAUAAAUGUAAAUAGGGUUGGGAUCUAUGAAGAAGUAAAUAUACUUCGUUCUGAAUAAGUCAAUAAAUUUAUCGAAUAAAUCAUGCGAUCGCACGA